This 135-nucleotide ribosomal RNA is filed under the name Vibrio ichthyoenteri. RNAcentral's name for it is "partial 16S ribosomal RNA". It matches the Rfam family "Bacterial small subunit ribosomal RNA", at positions 1 to 115 of the family's 1533-position model. Lineage: Bacteria; Pseudomonadati; Pseudomonadota; Gammaproteobacteria; Vibrionales; Vibrionaceae. The record is from RNAcentral.
CUUAAAUUGAAGAGUUUGAUCAUGGCUCAGAUUGAACGCUGGCGGCAGGCCUAACACAUGCAAGUCGAGCGGAAACGACUUAACUGAACCUUCGGGGAACGUUAAGGGCGUCGAGCGGCGGACGGGUGAGUAAUG